GUGGGGAAUCUUGCGCAAUGGGCGAAAGCCUGACGCAGCCAUGCCGCGUGAAUGAUGAAGGUCUUAGGAUUGUAAAAUUCUUUCACCGGGGACGAUAAUGACGGUACCCGGAGAAGAAGCUCCGGCUAACUUCGUGCCAGCAGCCGCGGUAAUACGAAGGGGGCUAGCGUUGCUCGGAAUUACUGGGCGUAAAGGGCGCGUAGGCGGACAGCUUAGUCAGAGGUGAAAGCCCAGGGCUCAACCUUGGAAUUACCUUUGAUACUGGCUGUCUUGAGUUUGGGAGAGGUGAGUGGAACUCCGAGUGUAGAGGUGAAAUUCGUAGAUAUUCGGAAGAACACCAGUGGCGAAGGCGACUCACUGGCCCAAUACUGACGCUGAGGCGCGAAAGCGUGGGGAGCAAACAGGAUUAGAAACCCGUGUAGUCC
Molecule: ribosomal RNA, 425 nt
Filed under: uncultured bacterium
Lineage: Bacteria
Description: partial 16S ribosomal RNA
Rfam family: Bacterial small subunit ribosomal RNA
Source: RNAcentral